RNAcentral lists this ribosomal RNA (253 nucleotides) under uncultured bacterium. RNAcentral's name for it is "partial 16S ribosomal RNA". It matches the Rfam family "Bacterial small subunit ribosomal RNA", at positions 524 to 776 of the family's 1533-position model. The record is from RNAcentral.
UACGGGGGGGGCAAGCGUUGUUCGGAAUUACUGGGCGUAAAGGGCUCGUAGGCGGCCAACUAAGUCAGACGUGAAAUCCCCAGGCUUAACCUGGGAACUGCGUCUGAUACUGGAUGGCUUGAAUUCGGGAGAGGGAUGCAGAAUUCCAGGUGUAGCGGUGAAAUGCGUAGAUAUCUGGAGGAACACCGGUGGCGAAGGCGGCGUCCUGGACCAACACUGACACUGAUGAGCGAAAGCCAGGGGAGCAAACGGG